This 664-nucleotide ribosomal RNA is filed under the name uncultured Desulfosporosinus sp. Its description in RNAcentral is "bacterial SSU rRNA". It matches the Rfam family "Bacterial small subunit ribosomal RNA", at positions 37 to 672 of the family's 1533-position model. The record is from RNAcentral. Lineage: Bacteria; Bacillati; Bacillota; Clostridia; Eubacteriales; Desulfitobacteriaceae.
UGGCGGCGUGCGUGACACAUGCAAGUCGAACGGAGAAUUCAAUAAGUUUACUUAGAGAAUUCUUAGUGGCGGACGGGUGAGUAACGCGUGGGUAACSUACCCAUAAACCCGGGACAACCCUUGGAAACGAGGGCUAAUACCGGAUAAUCUUAGGGCUUGGCAUCAAGCUUUAAGGAAAGGUGGCCUCUGUAUAUGCUACCGAUUAUGGAUGGACCCGCGUCUGAUUAGCUAGUUGGUGGGGUAAAGGCCUACCAAGGCGACGAUCAGUAGCCGGCCUGAGAGGGUGAACGGCCACACUGGGACUGAGACACGGCCCAGACUCCUACGGGAGGCAGCAGUGGGGAAUCUUCCGCAAUGGACGAAAGUCUGACGGAGCAACGCCGCGUGUAUGAUGAAGGUCUUCGGAUUGUAAAGUACUGUCUUUGGGGAAGAAUGACUGGCUUGAAAGUAUUGAGUCAGUAUGACGGUACCCAAGGAGGAAGCCCCGGCUAACUACGUGCCAGCAGCCGCGGUAAUACGUAGGGGGCAAGCGUUGUCCGGAAUUAUUGGGCGUAAAGGGCGCGUAGGCGGAUUUUUAAGUCCGGUGUGAAAGAUCAGGGCUCAACCCUGAGAGUGCAUCCGAAACUGGGGAUCUUGAGGACAGGAGAGGAAAGUGGAAUUCCUA